UUUCCGUAGGUGAACCUGCGGAAGGAUCAUUAUUGUAUAACCGAGGUGCGAGGGCUGUCGCUGACCCGAAAGGUCGUGCACGCCCGAGCGCCCCCACACACAUCCAUCUCACCCCUAUGUGCACCACCGCGUGGGUCCCCCUUUGGCUUGUUCGGAGGGGGGCUUACGUUUUCACACAAACUUUGUAUGCAGUGUAGAAUGUAUUUUUUGUUUUUGCGAUCACGCAAUCAAUACAACUUUCAACAACGGAUCUCUUGGCUCUC
This 263-nucleotide unclassified non-coding RNA is filed under the name plant metagenome. Its description in RNAcentral is "partial contains small subunit ribosomal RNA, internal transcribed spacer 1, and 5.8S ribosomal RNA". The record is from RNAcentral.